CUAGUUUCUAAGGAUCAUGUCUGCGAGCCAGGAUUCCCGAUCCAGAGACAAUGGCCCCGAUGGGAUGGAGCCCGAAGGCGUCAUCGAGAGUAACUGGAAUGAGAUUGUUGACAGCUUUGAUGACAUGAACCUCUCGGAGUCCCUUCUCCGUGGUAUCUACGCCUAUGGUUUUGAGAAGCCCUCUGCCAUCCAGCAGCGAGCCAUUCUACCUUGUAUCAAGGGUUAUGAUGUGAUUGCUCAAGCCCAAUCUGGGACUGGGAAAACGGCCACAUUUGCCAUAUCGAUUCUGCAGCAGAUUGAAUUAGAUCUAAAAGCCACCCAGGCCUUGGUCCUAGCACCCACUCGAGAAUUGGCUCAGCAGGUAAGAGUGGCUUCUAUUCCCUCCUUCAGGGCUGAUUUAGGGAUGAUGAGUAUAAUCCAAGGACCAGAGAAGUCUUCUCUGAUCACCACCUUGGGAGGAAGACAUGGGUGCCCUAACACUCUCGAGACCUGCUGGGUUAAUUAAAAGCUAUUUCUUACCCAAACGUAACCAUUGCUUCCUCCACCCAUUUCCUGAGUCAAAUGGGAAGGCUGUUGGGUGAAGCCUGGCUGGCUGGGCAAGUUUGACUGUGUUCUGAAUAAGCACCUUCACUAUGGGCUAAGAGAUACCUUGGUGGUGGGGGUGAUCUUACAGUAGUCAGAGCAGAUGGACAGUCCUUUUCACCCUUGCUAAUGGCCAGAGCUGUUUCAUGCCUGGGGCACACACAAUUCUAAUGCUGGACUUUUUCCUGGGUCAUGCUGCA
This 782-nucleotide small RNA is filed under the name Pan troglodytes (chimpanzee). Its description in RNAcentral is "retained intron". Lineage: Eukaryota; Metazoa; Chordata; Mammalia; Primates; Hominidae. The record is from RNAcentral.